UUUACCUUGUUGGCCGCUUAGCACACUUUCCUUUAUAUUCCACAGCAGGAUCGCCGUGAAAGGUGCAUAGAUAAACACAUACUCAAAAACGUAAUAAAAGCAUGAAGUAUAACAUUUCAAGACAAAUAUUGUGAACAUAUCGGCAUACAUCCCACAUUUACUUUUUCGAAGGUCAUCAUUUGAAAACUUGUCAGAUGUGUUCAGUAUAACAUCAUCG
Molecule: long non-coding RNA, 217 nt
Filed under: Mytilus galloprovincialis (Mediterranean mussel)
Lineage: Eukaryota; Metazoa; Mollusca; Bivalvia; Mytilida; Mytilidae
Source: RNAcentral